CCUACGGGGGGCAGCAGUGAGGAAUAUUGGUCAAUGGACGAGAGUCUGAACCAGCCAAGUAGCGUGAAGGAUGACUGCCCUAUGGGUUGUAAACUUCUUUUAUAUGGGAAUAAAAUGUUCCACGUGUGGGAUUUUGUAUGUACCAUAUGAAUAAGGAUCGGCUAACUCCGUGCCAGCAGCCGCGGUAAUACGGAGGAUCCGAUCGUUAUCCGGAUUUAUUGGGUUUAAAGGGAGCGUAGGUGGAUUGUUAAGUAAGUUGUGAAAGUUUGCGGCUCAACCGUAAAAUUGCAGUUGAAACUGGCAGUCUUGAGUACAGUAGAGGGGGGCGGAAUGCGUGGUGUAGCGGUGAAAUGCUUAGAUAUCACGAAGAACUCCGAUUGCGAAGGCAGUUCACUGGACUGCAACUGACACUGAGGCUCGAAAGUGUGGGUAUCAAACAGGAUUAGAUACCCGUGUAGUC
Molecule: ribosomal RNA, 460 nt
Filed under: uncultured bacterium
Lineage: Bacteria
Description: partial 16S ribosomal RNA
Rfam family: Bacterial small subunit ribosomal RNA
Source: RNAcentral